GGUGGGGUCCAGGGGGGAGGACAUUAGGUCCCCCCCCAAUUUGUAUUUAGGGCCCCCACCCCUGAGCGGUGGGUGAGGGCCCUAAACAAGAAUAAGGGGGGGGACCUAAUGUCCUCCCCCCUGGCCCCCCCCUUAUUCUUGUUU
Molecule: non-coding RNA, 144 nt
Organism: Pelobates cultripes (western spadefoot toad)
Lineage: Eukaryota; Metazoa; Chordata; Amphibia; Anura; Pelobatidae
Source: the annotation of a GenBank genome assembly